GUUCCCGCCGUGCCCUGGCGCGGCCCACGCCCACGCUGGGGGGGAGGUCACCCCCGAGCCCAUCGUGGAAGCUUCACCCGGGGAAGAAGCCCCAGUCCGCUCCGCGCUGUUCCGAGUGGCCGCUGGACCCGGCAGGAAGCGGCUGGAACGCCCGCGCGCGCCCUUGCCGCCGGCCUUGGCUUUGCUGACGAGAGCGGCUCCCGCGCCCGUCUCGCCUCCCCUCCCCCACGGGCCCGCGCAGGAGGAGACUUGGUGCUUGUAUGAUGUUGCUCGGAGCUCACAUUUCGGGCUGAAGUUCAUAAGUCCUUCAAAAAGUAUUUUCGCAAGUAUGGAAACAUCUCAACUAUUAGUUUUGACUCUCUCCAGCUAGAUCCGAUGAGAAGAAACUGUGCUCACUGAGGCUGUGAGAAAAAUGGAGGGGACUGAGGCAAAAAGAGCCGACAAACCUGACUUCCAAGGUAGUGGCUCAUUUCCCUGAGUGUCAGCCGGCAAGUCAUUAAAAGGAGCUUUGGAAAUGAGGUGUCUUAGAGGGCAACCAAACCUGCUAGCUGAAGAAUUGCAUUUGUUUUGGGCUUAAUUUUUAUGAUCGCUUGAAGGAAGAAAAAAAAAAAGGCAGAACAUGAAAAUGAGCCGAAUCACACUGUACCAGGGGAUUUGACAAUGAGAAGAGGCAUAAAUAAGAUCACGUGUCCUUACUUGGAAGACAGGAGGUUGGAUCUGUGUUUCUAAGCCUACCAAAUGUCCCUUUACCAUCUAAAUAUCAUUGAGGGAGAGAAUUCACUCAUCUUCUUAUUGCUGUCCAUUCAGUUUCUAUGUCUCUUCCACACUGUGGCCAGAAUGCAGCUGCCUGGCUGGGGACUGUUCUUUCCAGCAUCCUUUGCAGCUUGCCGGGGUCGUGUGAUAAGAUCCCAUCAAUGAAAAACGAGCAGAAGUUGGGUGUCUAAGAAGUGACUAUGCCUUCUCUGCUAUCUCUGAGGGCUGGAAACAAUUCUGAAGAUACAGGGUAGGGUCGGGUCUGACAAUAGAAGCCUGAGACCCUUAUCACUAUGUGGAGCAAAGUCUCCCACAGCUCUGGGACACCUGCUUUGGACUGGCAUCUGACUGUGUUAAUCUUCUGGGGGUGUUAAGUCGCUGAAGUUCUGAAGUUUAUUGUUACAGCAACUAAAAUUACCCCAACACAGAAACUAUGAAAACUGACAUUCCUCCCUGAAUGUCCCAUUGUCGCUGUGUCUUCCAUACCAGACCAUGAAACUCCUUUAGGAAUGUUGUGAUAUCCUGUGUAGUGCAGGUAUCUUAUAAAUGCAUGUGGAAGGAUGGAAGGAAGGAAUGGAAGGGAAGAGAGAGAGAUAAAGGGAGAGAGAGAGAGAGAGGAGAGUCAGUGCAUAUGCAUUUAAGGUGACUGCUUAUUUUCUUUUAGGCUUUCAAACACAACAUACUCUUGCACCCUCACCCUCCCGUUAACUGGUGGAGAGAGGGGAAAUAUGUCUACUUUAUGCACAGUCUUCCAGAGGAUGAACAUGCUGCCAUGAGGGAAAUUUCUUGCUGGAGGAAAGCAAUCCCUUAGAGAAAGCAGACCACAUAUCAUCACCCAAGAGAGCUGGGCCACCGCCAACAUCUCCAUCAGCAACUUGGAAGAGUUGUCCGUCUUCCCAACACAAUAAAACUGGAGCCAUGAGAGUCCA
RNAcentral lists this long non-coding RNA (1682 nucleotides) under Oryctolagus cuniculus (rabbit). Its description in RNAcentral is "lncRNA (ENSOCUG00000033925.1)". Lineage: Eukaryota; Metazoa; Chordata; Mammalia; Lagomorpha; Leporidae. The record is from RNAcentral.